Pezoporus flaviventris is the source of this 325-nucleotide long non-coding RNA. RefSeq lists it as uncharacterized. NCBI's taxonomy places the organism in Eukaryota, Metazoa, Chordata, Aves, Psittaciformes, Psittacidae. The record is from RefSeq and is a predicted model, not a curated record. The transcript has 3 exons.
UAGGGAAAACAGAAAGGUUGCAAAUCUCCUGACAGAACAGUGCAUAGACUGCAGGCCGUGAUUCCUAUUUAAAACAGAGUGUCCGAUGUACAGAUUCACUUGAUUUGUAUUUAAAUGGGGAAGUGUGCUACCAGCUAGCAAAAGCUUUAUGUGGGAGAAAGAGAUGAAAACUGGUGCCAAAGAAUAGUGAGAGCCAUCACUGCCUUAUCACCUAUCUCUGGAGCUAUGCGUAACUCCCCAGCCAGACGCUAAGCUGAGCUCAGGGCCUGAAGAAAUAAAAAGAAACAACAAAUAAUGACUGGAAGUUACUAUAAUGAAAGCCAGG